AUACGUAGGUGACAAGCGUUAUCCGGAUUUACUGGGCGUAAAGGGCGUGUAGGCGGUCUUGCAAGUCAGAAGUGAAAUUCCUGAGCUCAACUCGGGCGCUGCUUCUGAAACUGCAGGACUUGAGUGCUGGAGGGGAUAGCGGAAUUCCUAGUGGAGCGGCAAAAUGCGCAGAUAUUAGGAAGAACACCGGUGGCGAAGGCGGUUACCUGGACAGUACCUGAGUCUGAGCCGCCAAAGCGUGGUGAGCAGACAGGAUUAGUUACCCGGGUAGUCCACGCCGUAAACGAUGAAUACUAGGUGUAGGGUUUAUCGACUCCCUCUGUGCCGCAGUUAACACAAUAAGUAUUCCGCCUGGGGAGUACGGCCGCAAGGUUGAAACUCAAAUGAAUUGGCGGGG
This 397-nucleotide ribosomal RNA is filed under the name uncultured bacterium. Its description in RNAcentral is "partial 16S ribosomal RNA". It matches the Rfam family "Bacterial small subunit ribosomal RNA", at positions 523 to 918 of the family's 1533-position model. The record is from RNAcentral.